UUAAGUUCAGCGGGUAAUCCUACCUGAUUUGAGGCCACACAGUAAAGUAGCGUCUCAUAGUGAGAACAUGAUUAGAAGCAGACGGCAUCAAGCCUUGGCCAGGUUUUACCCUGUCCCCGAUGAAUACUUAUUACAUCGAGUCGAACCAAGUCAUAGACAAGUCCAGCUAAUGAUUUUAAGGCGAGCCACUUUGCAGCAGC
This 200-nucleotide unclassified non-coding RNA is filed under the name Holtermanniella sp. RNAcentral's name for it is "partial internal transcribed spacer 2". Lineage: Eukaryota; Fungi; Basidiomycota; Tremellomycetes; Holtermanniales. The record is from RNAcentral. RNAcentral also lists the same sequence under 1 other name.